RNAcentral lists this long non-coding RNA (223 nucleotides) under Setaria italica (foxtail millet). RNAcentral describes it as "long non-coding RNA (SITA_LNC004558)". Lineage: Eukaryota; Viridiplantae; Streptophyta; Magnoliopsida; Poales; Poaceae. The record is from RNAcentral.
UUAUUCUAUCCCCAAUCUGACGAGGCCAAAAUAUUAAUCUGAGUGAUUUCAUCAGACCCAAUGCAAACCAUAUAAAGGCUGAACUCAACCCAUGGAUGGGCAGCGAGGCGCAAGGGAAAGAAUAAGCCAUUUUGUCAUCCUUGGGUUGUCUGCCGGUUUUCAAGUGGGUUUCAUCUUUAUGAGCUACCCCGCUUUGUCAAGAUUCAUAAUGCCCCAUUGCCCC